RNAcentral lists this ribosomal RNA (433 nucleotides) under uncultured bacterium. RNAcentral's name for it is "partial 16S ribosomal RNA". It matches the Rfam family "Bacterial small subunit ribosomal RNA", at positions 29 to 507 of the family's 1533-position model. The record is from RNAcentral.
AACGAACGCUGGCGGCAUGCCUAACACAUGCAAGUCGAACGAUCCCUUCGGGGAUAGUGGCGCACGGGUGCGUAAUGCGUGGGAACCUGCCCUUAGGUUCUGAAUAUCUCCGAGAAAUUUGAGCUAAUACCGGAUAAUGUCUUCGGACCAAAGAUUUAUCGCCUUUGGAUGGGCCCGCGUUGGAUUAGCUAGUUGGUGGGGUAAAGGCCUACCAAGGAGACGAUGCAUAGCUGGUAUGGGGGGAUGAUCAGCAACACUGGGACAGAGACACGGCCCAGACUCCUAGGAAAGGAAGAAGUGGGGAAUAAGGAACAAUGCGUGAAAGACUAAGGCAGCAAUGCCGCAUGAGUGAGGAAGGCGUUAGGGUAGUAAAGCUCUUUUACACGGAAUAGAAAUGACAGUACCGGGAGAAUAAGCCACGGCUAACUCCGUG